UACGGAGGGUGCGAGCGUUGUCCGGAAUCAUUGGGCGUAAAGGGCGCGUAGGUGGCCCGGUCAGUUCGUGGUGAAAGCGCGGGGCUCAACCCUGCGUCGGCCAUGAAUACUGCCGCGGCUGGAGCACUGUAGAGGCAGGCGGAAUUCCGGGUGUAGCGGUGGAAUGCGUAGAGAUCCGGAAGAACACCGGUGGCGAAGGCGGCCUGCUGGGCAGUUGCUGACACUGAGGCGCGACAGCGUGGGGAGCAA
RNAcentral lists this ribosomal RNA (249 nucleotides) under uncultured bacterium. RNAcentral describes it as "partial 16S ribosomal RNA". It matches the Rfam family "Bacterial small subunit ribosomal RNA", at positions 524 to 771 of the family's 1533-position model. The record is from RNAcentral.